AUCGAGUCUUUGAAUGCAAAUUAUGCCCGAAGCCAUUAGGACGAAGGCACGCAUGCCUGGGAGUCACAC
Molecule: ribosomal RNA, 69 nt
Filed under: Chamaemeles coriacea
Lineage: Eukaryota; Viridiplantae; Streptophyta; Magnoliopsida; Rosales; Rosaceae
Description: 5.8S ribosomal RNA
Source: RNAcentral